Molecule: transfer RNA, 72 nt
Filed under: Camelus dromedarius (Arabian camel)
Lineage: Eukaryota; Metazoa; Chordata; Mammalia; Artiodactyla; Camelidae
Also listed under: 1 other name
Rfam family: tRNA
About the family: Transfer RNA (tRNA) molecules are approximately 80 nucleotides in length. Their secondary structure includes four short double-helical elements and three loops (D, anti-codon, and T loops).
Source: Rfam by way of RNAcentral
GAGGGUAUAGCUUGGCGGUAGAGUGCACGCUUAGCAUGCAUGAGGUCCUGGGUUCAAUACCCAGUACCUAUU